RNAcentral lists this unclassified non-coding RNA (217 nucleotides) under root metagenome. Its description in RNAcentral is "partial contains small subunit ribosomal RNA, internal transcribed spacer 1, and 5.8S ribosomal RNA". The record is from RNAcentral.
UUUCCGUAGGUGAACCUGCGGAAGGAUCAUUAAAGAUUCGACCUUCGGGUCUAUCUCUCUUCAGCUGUGCGCUUUGGCUGCACGCUGUCGAACCUCUCACACCUGUGCACCAUUCGGUUGCGGUUUCGGCCGCUUCCGCUUUUACACAUACAACCACAGUCCAGAAUGUAAAACACAAUAACAAUAACAACUUUCAACAACGGAUCUCUUGGCUCUC